UACGUAGGGUGCGAGCGUUAAUCGGAAUUACUGGGCGUAAAGCGUGCGCAGGCGGUUAUGCAAGACAGAUGUGAAAUCCCCGGGCUCAACCUGGGAACUGCAUUUGUGACUGCAUGGCUGGAGUGCGGCAGAGGGGGAUGGAAUUCCGCGUGUAGCAGUGAAAUGCGUAGAUAUGCGGAGGAACACCGAUGGCGAAGGCAGCCCCCUGGGCUAACACUGACGCUCAGGCACGAAAGCGUGGGGAGCAAACAGG
RNAcentral lists this ribosomal RNA (253 nucleotides) under uncultured bacterium. RNAcentral describes it as "partial 16S ribosomal RNA". It matches the Rfam family "Bacterial small subunit ribosomal RNA", at positions 524 to 776 of the family's 1533-position model. The record is from RNAcentral.